ACCUUGCCAAGAGAUGGUGGUAGACUCGAACUUGUGACUUCAGGGCUAGAUUGUUAUCUUCCUGCUACCCGUCUUCUAUGAGAAAUUGAGAUGUUAAGAAUAAGUCUCAACUCUUGGGACAGUUAAAAUCGUAAUAGAGGAAAAAAAGAGGAAAAGAACACCCAAAUGAAGGACAAAAACUUUAAUUCCCACAACUACAAAUGUACAAGACUGCGGCCUAAUCACUCAGCAUCCCGGUCUACACAACUAUAGAUCCAGGAGCAGCUUGAUUAUGGGUAGGAAUAACAGGGAAAAAAGAAGAUAUUGAAAUUCCCUCACAACUGUUCACGGGGAUUAAAGCAGUUUCCACUUCCACAGAAGGAUUCUUCCUCAGUACAGUGAAAAUGUAUUCCAUAAAUUCUUCCUCACAAGGAACUUGCAGUGGUCCAUGAGUCGUGGUUCCGAAUUCCUCCUCAGCCAUUUCCAGUAGAACUCUGAAGAUGGGGUGAUUCAAAUAAUAUAAAGGCACAACGAACCUCUUGCCUUCCUUGGUGUAGACAGCAAAAUGGCCUUUCUUUCUCUUAGUCCAUUUCCAAAUGAUAUCGCUUAGAACCUUAGAAGAACUCUUCAUGUGCUAAAAGAAACCAGGAUUUUGUUUCUUAUAGAUUUUUUUGUAGGUUGAGGUUCAGAUUACUGGGUUCUCGCACUGGAAUAUAUGUUGAUUUUUGUAGGCAGUUGGUGAGUGGCAGGCAGGCAGGCAUUUGGAGGAAGCUUAUAAAAAAAGCUAAGGUGAUGUGAG
This 778-nucleotide unclassified non-coding RNA is filed under the name Hevea brasiliensis (rubber tree). Lineage: Eukaryota; Viridiplantae; Streptophyta; Magnoliopsida; Malpighiales; Euphorbiaceae. The record is from RNAcentral.